GGGUUUCACUCCUAUCUAUUCUAGUGACCUACCUAUCGUUGCUUCGGCGGACUCGCCCCAGCCCGGACGCGGACUGGACCAGCGGCCCGCCGGGGACCUCAAACUCUUGUAUUCCAGCAUCUUCUGAAUACGCCGCAAGGCAAAACAAAUGAAUCAAAACUUUCAACAACGGAUCUCUUGGCUCUGGCAUCGAUGAAGAACGCAGCGAAACGCGAUAAGUAAUGUGAAUUGCAGAAUCCAGUGAAUCAUCGAAUCUUUGAACGCACAUUGCGCCCGCCAGCAUUCUGGCGGGCAUGCCUGUUCGAGCGUCAUUUCAACCCUCGACCUCCCCUUGGGGAGGUCGGCGUUGGGGACCGGCAGCACACCGCCGGCCCUGAAAUGGAGUGGCGGCCCGUCCGCGGCGACCUCUGCGCAGUAAUACAGCUCGCACCGGGACCCCGACGCGGCCACGCCGUAAAACACCCAACUUCUGAACGUUGACCUCGAAUCAGGUAGGACUACCCGCUGAAUUAA
This 513-nucleotide ribosomal RNA is filed under the name Beauveria bassiana. RNAcentral describes it as "eukaryotic LSU rRNA". The stretch from base 158 to 311 matches the Rfam family "5.8S ribosomal RNA". Lineage: Eukaryota; Fungi; Ascomycota; Sordariomycetes; Hypocreales; Cordycipitaceae. The record is from RNAcentral.